UACAGAGGGUGCGAGCGUUAAUCGGAAGUACUGGGCGUAAAGCGCACGUAGGUGGCGACGUAAGUCGGGUGUGAAAGCCCCGGGCUCAACCUGGGAAUUGCAUUCGAGACUGCAUUGCUGGAGUACGGAAGAGGAAGGCGGAAUUCCCGGUGUAGCGGUGAAAUGCGUAGAUAUCGGGAGGAACAUCAGUGGCGAAGGCGGCCUUCUGGUCCAGUACUGACACUCAAGUGCGAAAGCGUGGGGAGCAAACAGG
RNAcentral lists this ribosomal RNA (253 nucleotides) under uncultured bacterium. RNAcentral describes it as "partial 16S ribosomal RNA". It matches the Rfam family "Bacterial small subunit ribosomal RNA", at positions 524 to 776 of the family's 1533-position model. The record is from RNAcentral.